This 301-nucleotide ribosomal RNA is filed under the name uncultured bacterium. RNAcentral describes it as "partial 16S ribosomal RNA". It matches the Rfam family "Bacterial small subunit ribosomal RNA", at positions 509 to 807 of the family's 1533-position model. The record is from RNAcentral.
CAGUCGCCGCGGUAAUACGUAGGUGGCAAGCGUUGUCCGGAUUUAUUGGGCGUAAAGCGAGCGCAGGCGGUUCCUUAAGUCUGAUGUGAAAGCCCACGGCUCAACCGUGGAAGGUCAUUGGAAACUGGGGAACUUGAGUGCAGAAGAGGAGAGUGGAAUUCCAUGUGUAGCGGUGAAAUGCGUAGAUAUAUGGAGGAACACCAGUGGCGAAGGCGACUCUCUGGUCUGUAACUGACGCUGAGGCUCGAAAGCGUGGGGAGCAAACAGGAUUAGAUACCCCAGUAGUCCCUGUCUCUUAUAC